UCUCCGUUGGUGAACCAGCGGAGGGAUCAUUACCGAGUUUACAACUCCCAAACCCCUGUGAAUAUACCAUUUGUUGCCUCGGCGGUGCCUGCUUCGGCAGCCCGCCAGAGGACCCAAACCCUUGAUUUUAUACAGUAUCUUCUGAGUAAAUGAUUAAAUAAAUCAAAACUUUCAACAACGGAUCUCUUGGUUCUG
Molecule: unclassified non-coding RNA, 195 nt
Filed under: plant metagenome
Description: partial contains small subunit ribosomal RNA, internal transcribed spacer 1, and 5.8S ribosomal RNA
Source: RNAcentral